GAUGAACGCUGGCGGCGUGCCUAAUACAUGCAAGUCGAGCGAACGGACGAGAAGCCUGCUUUUCUGAUGUUAGCGGCGGACGGGUGAGUAACACGUGGAUAACCUACCUAUAAGACUGGGAUAACUUCGGGAAACCGGAGCUAAUACCGGAUAAUAUUUUGAACCGCAUGGUUCAAAAGUGAAAGACGGUCUUGCUGUCACUUAUAGAUGGAUCCGCGCUGCAUUAGCUAGUUGGUAAGGUAACGGCUUACCAAGGCAACGAUGCAUAGCCGACCUGAGAGGGUGAUCGGCCACACUGGAACUGAGACACGGUCCAGACUCCUACGGGAGGCAGCAGUAGGGAAUCUUCCGCAAAGGGCGAAAGCCUGACGGAGCAACGCCGCGUGAGUGAUGAAGGUCUUCGGAUCGUAAAACUCUGUUAUUAGGGAAGAACAUAUGUGUAAGUAACUGUGCACAUCUUGACGGUACCUAAUCAGAAAGCCACGGCUAACUACGUG
Molecule: ribosomal RNA, 497 nt
Filed under: uncultured bacterium
Lineage: Bacteria
Description: partial 16S ribosomal RNA
Rfam family: Bacterial small subunit ribosomal RNA
Source: RNAcentral